GGCUGAUGACGCAUGUCCUUCUCGCUUCUCCCUUCAAUAUAUACGACUGUGAGUGUACCGGUGAAGGAGAAGCUGAUGCCCCGUGUCCCCACUUGUAUUUCUUUUCUUGCAGGAGUAUGUGUAGGAGCAUGUACACUCAGCGCAGACUUGAGCUCCUCGGGGAGAUGCAGUGAAGCAAGACGGGGUUAAGAUGGAGAAAGAAACCACCACCACAGUGGAGAGAGAAAAGCCUGGUGGAUUUCUGGUUUUGGAGAAAGCGGUGUGAUGCAGACUAAAAUCCCUGGUGUUUAAUUAACUCAUGCAUCAUUUAUAUAUCCAUCUGAAUUCAUACAAACACUACAGGUAUUAAAAUAAAUACACUAAAAUACCUUAAAAUGCUGUGACAUUCAGGUUAUAAUCGAUAGAGUUUUAUACUUUUACAUUACUCUCUCACUCAUCCACACAUCACUCCUGCUGCUCUGCAUCAUCUAUUCAUUAUACAUCAUACUGUAGUCCAGGAGAAUUAACUAUAAUCAACAAAUUCAGAAUGACUGAUGUAUAAUUUUACUAUUAGGAACUAU
This is a long non-coding RNA of Tachysurus vachellii, 560 nucleotides long. RefSeq lists it as uncharacterized. The record is from RefSeq and is a predicted model, not a curated record. Lineage: Eukaryota; Metazoa; Chordata; Actinopteri; Siluriformes; Bagridae. The transcript has 3 exons.